RNAcentral lists this ribosomal RNA (253 nucleotides) under uncultured bacterium. RNAcentral describes it as "partial 16S ribosomal RNA". It matches the Rfam family "Bacterial small subunit ribosomal RNA", at positions 524 to 776 of the family's 1533-position model. The record is from RNAcentral.
UACGAGGGGGGCGAGCGUUGUUCGGAAUUAUUGGGCGUAAAGGGUGCGUAGGCGGCCUGACAAGUCUGAUGUGAAAUCCCUGGGCUCAACCCAGGGCCUGCAUCGGAAACUGUCGGGCUUGAGUAUGGGAGAGGUGAGUGGAAUUUCCGGUGUAGCGGUGAAAUGCGUAGAGAUCGGAAAGAACACCAACGGCGAAAGCACUCUGCUGGGCCGACACUGACACUGAGAGACGAAAGCUAGGGGAGCGAGUGGG